This 1447-nucleotide ribosomal RNA is filed under the name Flavobacteriales endosymbiont of Nosodendron asiaticum 2-BH-2020. RNAcentral's name for it is "bacterial SSU rRNA". It matches the Rfam family "Bacterial small subunit ribosomal RNA". Lineage: Bacteria; Pseudomonadati; Bacteroidota; Flavobacteriia; Flavobacteriales. The record is from RNAcentral.
GAACGCUAGCGAUAAGCUUAACACAUGCAAGUCGAGGGGCAACAUUUUAAAUAAGAUUUAUCUUAUUUAUUGAUGGCGACCGGCGUACGGGUGAGUAUAACGUAUAUAAUUUACCUUUUGUUGGAAAAUACCUUAAAGAAAUUUUUGUUAAUGUUCCAUACGGUAAUUUUACAUAAGUAAUUUUACUUAAAGUUUAUAAAUAAUGACAAAAGACAAGUAUACGCCUGAUUAGCCUGUUGGUGAGGUAAAAGCUUACCAAAGCAAUGAUCAGUAGGGGAUCUGAGAGGAUGUACCCCCACAUUGGUACUGGAACAAGGACCAAACUUCUAUGGAAGGCAGCAGUGAGGAAUAUUGGUCAAUGGAGUAAACUCUGAACCAACUAUAUCGCGUGCAGGAUGAAGGUUUAAAUAUCGUAAACUGCUUUUGUAAAAGAAUAAGAAUUUUUAUUUUUAAAAAUUUUGAAAUUAUUUUACGAAUAAGUAUCGGCAAACUCCGUGCCAGCAGCCGCGGUAAUACGGGGGAUACAAGCGUUAUCCAGAAUUAUUGGGUUUAAAGAGUACGUAGGCGGAUUAUUAAGUUAAUAAUUAAAUAUUUUAGCUCAACUAAAAACAAUGUUAUUAAAACUGAUAUUCUUGAAUAUUAAUGGAGUAAUUGGAAUGUAUUAUGUAACGAUAAAAUGUUUUGAUAUAAUAUGGAACACCAAAGGCGAAGGCAAAUUACUAAUUAAUAUUAACGCUGAGGUACGAAGGCGUGGGGAGCAAAUAGGAUUAGAUACCCUAGUAGUCCACGCAGUAAACUAUGAUCAUAUAUUAUUAUAUUUUAUAUAGUAAUAAUGCUAAAGCUAUAAAUGAUCCACCUGGGGAUUACGAUCGCAAGAUUAAAACUCAAAGGAAUUGACGGGGACCCGCACAAGCGGUGGAGCAUGUGGUUUAAUUCGAUUUUACGCGAGGAACCUUACCAAGAUUAAAUGUAUAAUGAAUAAAUUAGUAAUAGUUUAGUCUUCGGACAUUAUACAAGGUGUUGCAUGGUUGUCGUCAGCUCGUGUCGUGAGAUGUUAGGUUAAGUCCUUUUAACGAGCGCAACCCCUUUUAUUAGUUGCCAACAGGUAAUGCUGGGAACUCUAAUAUAACUGCUUAUGUAAAUAAGAGGAAGGUGGGGAUUACGACAAAUCAGUAUGACCCUUAUAUCUUGGGCUACACACGUGCUACAAUGAUUAAUACAGAGAGUUGCAAUUAGGUGACUAAAAGCUAAUCUUUAAAAUUAAUCUUAGUUCGGAUUGGAGUCUGCAACCCGACUCUAUGAAGCUGGAAUCGCUAGUAAUCGCGUAUCAGCCAUGACGCGGUGAAUAAGUUCUCGGGUCUUGUACACACUGCCCGUCAAGUCAUAGAAAUUGAUUUUAUAUGAAAUCAACUUUUUUUGUUGAAUAAUAUUAAAUUAAUAACUAGGG